This is a long non-coding RNA of Pistacia vera, 1379 nucleotides long. RefSeq lists it as uncharacterized. The record is from RefSeq and is a predicted model, not a curated record. The transcript is spliced from 2 exons. NCBI's taxonomy places the organism in Eukaryota, Viridiplantae, Streptophyta, Magnoliopsida, Sapindales, Anacardiaceae.
CAGGAACUCUCGAGAGCUCUAUACUCAAUGACUGUCCAGGCGUUUAGUCAGAAUGUAGUCUCCAUUUCCAUUCCUGCAGGAAAAGUCAAUGAUGUGUCAGGAAACCAAAAUUCGGCAUCCAAUACUCUUGAAGUAAAACACUCUAAGAAUAAUACAUAUUCCUGUUGUGAUGUUUCAGGAUUUUUACUUUAUGCUAAAAGCUGCAUCUUUGGAAAUUUACCAAUUGCUGUUUAACUACUUAAGACUCGGUUUAUAUAGAUUCAACUCCUACUAUCAACUGCACUACACUCAUUUCUGACUGCGGGAACAUUAGUAACAUCAUUGACGGCAGUUAUUCUUUCUCUUUCCUCUACAAAUGUUGGAGCGAUGGGCAUCCUGUUCUCAGAAAGUACAAUUUUUAUGGCUUCUGACACAUCAAUGAAUCUACAUGGAAUGGUUGGACACCUCAAGUUUUUGUCCCCUCAGACUGGCUCUUAACGAACCAACCCAUUGAAUAUUCUGAGACAACAAAAGGUCUGAGGUGGUUUAUACCUCGUCAAGAGCUUCCUUGGAGAAUGGCUCAACUCCAACUGAAGCAAAAACUCUUGGAUUAUUAAUGCUAGGUCUACUCUUCCUCACUUUUGUUGCUCAACUUACAAAUGACAAAUGAGUGGUAUGCUAUAAUAAAAAGCAUUCUAAGACCUGCUCGGCCCCAAAAAAUUCUUUCAGGCUUGGAAUGAAGUUUGUUCUUAAGGGCCUUGUGCUGCCUUUCCUCCCAAGGAAGUAUUGUUCAAGAGUCAUCCGUUGUUCCUCCAAACCAAUAACAGGUCUAGCUUCAGUCCCUCCUCAAAGUACCGAAACUGAAUAUGUUAGAAGAAAUACUAGAGGACCCAGUACCGACCCCUUUAGUGCCAUGACUGCAACAGUAGUCCUUGUGCUCAGUCCUGGCUCACCGGGCCUUAAUGUUAGUCAAACAACUGGUUUCACACCUGGGGACACAAGCAUUAUGCAGCAAAGAAUUGCAGAAGGUAAGCGGGCAAAGGGACUGAAAAUAGAGCCCAAGAAUGAGAUGAAGAAGCUAAGGGAGUUUGCUAGUUUCUGUGGAGAUUCUACAGGCGAGGGAGCUAGUACUAGCUAUGCUUUUAGGCUGCAAUCUCACUCUCCUGAAACCUCCUUAGGUAACCCUGAAGCGUCCACUUCUAAAUUCAGAAGAUAGUGUUUUAAACGACAAGGCUACGGAAAAGGGUGUUGACAUUCGACUUCGCCAAGCAGUUAACGUCAUUUUUGUUUCUCGUAGACUUGUAGCAUGACUUUGUACAAUUAACUACAAUGUUUUAAGCGAAUUAUGUGCAUUUGUAAGACCUCUAAGAUAAAUUUUCUGUUUAAAUUCUCAUUUCCAA